Molecule: long non-coding RNA, 593 nt
Organism: Rhopalosiphum padi (bird cherry-oat aphid)
Lineage: Eukaryota; Metazoa; Arthropoda; Insecta; Hemiptera; Aphididae
Exons: 3
Source: RefSeq, a predicted model, not a curated record
CCAACUUCAUGGUAUCGUGGUUAUACGUGUGGUAAGACUGUAUAAACUCUCUGGUAUACCAAACGCUUACCAUGUUUAUCAACUAAUCACAAAAAGUAUUUUUAUGCACGUACACGUUCACUAUGUCGUGGAAACCCACCCGCCAUUACACGACUAAAGACAAUUGAAGAUCAGUUCUAGGAAAAUGAUCGUCCACUUGUAGGUUGUUUAACUCUGCGUUUCGACAGAAAAACACUCGAACGAUUUCUGAGGAUAUUACAUGUGUGCCUGAAAGAGCUCAGCGCUUGUAUAAAAGGAUUUUACUUUUAAAAAUAAGGAGUCCGCUGUCAUCGGAUUUUCGUAUUGAUCAAGUCUCUACUCCAUAUUUAACAAUUGGUCUCAACAAGGUCCAACCAUGUUACUGUGAUUGCAUAAAAUAAUAAUGCAAAGGACCCACGAAAUUAGAAAAUUUAUGUGAUGAAUAAAAUGUGUAUAAAAAAGGCUAUUCCCUAAACGGCCUAAACCAUAGUGGACAAAAAAAAAUUAAGGGUCAACUUUUGAUAAGAUUUAAUUUUAAUGUAUAAUCUUAUUUUUUAUACAAUGUUUAUACACUG